RNAcentral lists this long non-coding RNA (475 nucleotides) under Mytilus galloprovincialis (Mediterranean mussel). Lineage: Eukaryota; Metazoa; Mollusca; Bivalvia; Mytilida; Mytilidae. The record is from RNAcentral.
CCUAAAGCAAAAUUGUUUGGAAUUGUCUUUUUCUGUUAUAGUUAUUCCAAGCAUCAUAUAGAGAAUUUUGAGAUUUUUCUUUAUAUUUUUCCUUUGAUUAUCUGCCAGAUGUCGGGUGUACAGGAAAUGUUACGACUCAGUUUGUGUAAUGCUUUCGUGAUGCAGAUCUUCCUCAUUUGUGUAGAUUAACUGGGUUUAUGGAGCAACGUGUAUUUUUUACAAAAACUGUCAAUCUGCUCUUUCUUGUGUCUCAUUUUCAUCAUCAGUGUAUACCACUUGGGAUGCAGGGGCAGGCAUGUUUCAGACCAACCCCAAAAUACAGCGGGUUUUUGUAUGCACCAUCUUGUUGACCUUUCUUAGCAUUACCUUCCGACUUAAGUAUUGAAUAUUAAGGCAAGACAUUAUUGUAAUGAAAUCUGAAUUCCCUAGGCCUAGACACCACUUUCCCUCAUUUUGUCUGUUAAAGGAUUAGUCU